Molecule: ribosomal RNA, 468 nt
Filed under: uncultured bacterium
Lineage: Bacteria
Description: bacterial SSU rRNA
Rfam family: Bacterial small subunit ribosomal RNA
Source: RNAcentral
GGCCCAGACUCCUACGGGAGGCAGCAGUGAGGAAUAUUGGUCAAUGGCCGAGAGGCUGAACCAGCCAAGUCGCGUGAGGGAAGACGGCCCUACGGGUUGUAAACCUCUUUUGUCGGGGAGCAAGGAGAGUCACGUGUGACUCAUUGAGAGUACCCGAAGAAAAAGCAUCGGCUAACUCCGUGCCAGCAGCCGCGGUAAUACGGAGGAUGCGAGCGUUAUCCGGAUUUAUUGGGUUUAAAGGGUGCGCAGGCGGGGGUGAAAGUCAGCGGUGAAAUGUCGGGGCUCAACCCCGGCCUGCCGUUGAAACUGGCGGCCUCGAGUGGGCGAGAAGUAUGCGGAAUGCGUGGUGUAGCGGUGAAAUGCAUAGAUAUCGCGCAGAACUCCGAUUGCGAAGGCAGCAUGCCGGCGCCACACUGACGCUGAGGCACGAAAGCGUGGGUAUCGAACAGGAUUAGAUACCCGCGUAUU